Molecule: long non-coding RNA, 1777 nt
Organism: Phasianus colchicus (ring-necked pheasant)
Lineage: Eukaryota; Metazoa; Chordata; Aves; Galliformes; Phasianidae
Source: Ensembl
UCCGAUUGGCGAAACGGAAGGGGGCGGAGCGAAACAACCGCAUUGGCGGCCGGGAGGGAGCGGAAGCGGCGGGGGAGGGACUUCCGGCGGCAAGAUGUCGGCGCUGGGGAGGGCGAUUCGGUCGUGGCGGGGUCCGUGGGGAGCGCGGGGGAGGAGCGCGGGAAGCGGAGCCGUCGUGGCGGCGCCGCGGGAAACGAUCGGAGCGCAUCGGGAGGAGGAAACGUGGGAGGAGGCGCAGCGGAAGGUGGGCGGGGCCUGGAGGAGGGGGCGGGGCCUGAGGGUGGCCUAUUGAAGGGGGCGUGGUAUUGGGAAGGGGCGGGCCUGAGGGAAGGGGGCGUGGUCUGUGGAAGGGGCGGGGCCUGUGGGGGCUAUGCGCGGGAGGGGGCGGGAUCUGCGAGGUGAUUGGCUGCGAAGGGGUGGUAUGAUAAUGAGGGGGCGGGGCGUCGGGUGGCUGCUGUUGGGCUAUGGGGCCCGGCCCAGUGCCUCCCAGUUCAUCCCAGUUCAUCCCAGUAAGUCCCAGUGCCCUCCCAGUAUGGGCUCACAUCUCUCAUUCCUGCUCCCAGUGCCUCCCAGUUUAUCCCAGUAACUCCCAGUUCAUCCCAGUGCAUCCCAGUUCACCCCAGUUCAUCCCAGUAACUCUGAGUGCCCUCCCAGUAUGGCCUCACAUCCCCCAUUCCUGCUCCCAGUUCAUCCCAGUAACUCCCAGUUCAUCCCAGUGCCCUCCCAGUCCCUCCCAGUUCAUCCCAGUUCAUCCCAGUAUCUCCCAGUGCCCUCCUAGUAAGGCCACACAUCCCCUAUCCCUGCUCCCAGUCUCUCCCAGUUCAUCCCAGUUCAUCCCAGUAUCUCCCAGUUCCUCCCAGUGCAUUCCCAGUAAGGCCCUACAUGCCCAAUCCCUGCUCCCAGUUCAUCCCGGUGUCUCCCAGUUCAUCCCAAUUCAUCCUAGUCCCUCCCAGUGCUUCCCAGUACCAUCCCAGUGCCCUCCCAGUAAGGCCCUACAUCCCCAAUCCUGGCUCCCAGUUCAUCCCAGUUCAUCCCAGUGCAUCCCAGUGCAUCCCAGUGCCUCCCAGUAUGGGUUCACAGCCCCCAUUCCUGCUUCCAGUCCCUCUCAGUGUCUCCCAGUUCAUCCCAGUACCUUCCAGUGCCCCCCAGUCCAUCCCAGUUGCUCUCAAUUCCCUCCCAGUUCACCCCAGUUCCAUCCCAGUUCCCACCCAGUCCCUCCCAGUUACCCCCAAUUCCCUCCCAGUCCGCCCCAGUUCCCUCCCAGUCCACCCCAGUUCCAUUCCAGUUCCAUCCCAGUCCACCCCAGUUCCCACCCAGUUCCUCCCAGUUCCAUUCCAGUUCCCUCCCAGUCCCUCCCAGUUCUCCCCAUUGCCCAGACUGACACCGAGGGGCGUGGCCAAAUGAAAGGGGGCGUGGCUUAAGGAAAGGGGGCGUGGCCUAAGACAGAAGGGCGGAGCCUAAGGCCACCCUAACCAAUGAGGGGCGGAGUCUAAUACACCAAGGGGGCGUGGUCAUAAGAAGGGGGCGUGGCCAACUGACACUGGGCGGUGCUCAGUGAUUGGGUGGGGUCCGAAUGAGGGGCGUGGUCACAGCGUGUGGGCGGGGCUAAAGGGUGUGGGCGGGGCUUAAUGGGAAGACAUUUGGGGGGGUUACGUUGCGUUUUUGUAACUUUUCCCUUUUAAUUUUUUUAUUCUUUCCUUUUUUCUUCUUUUUCUGCCAUCAUUUUCUUCCACCUCUUUUCCCAUUUUGUUAUUUUGUCUGCUGGUUUUGUUUUUUG